GCAGUCGACGAACUCUUCGGAGUUAGUGGCGGACGGGUGAGUAACACGUGGGAACGUGCCUUUUGGUUCGGAAUAGCUCCUGGAAACGGGUGGUAAUGCCGAAUGUGCCCUUCGGGGGAAAGAUUUAUCGCCAUUAGAGCGGCCCGCGUCUGAUUAGCUUGUUGGUGAGGUAAUGGCUCACCAAGGCUACGAUCAGUAGCUGGUCUGAGAGGAUGACCAGCCACAUUGGGACUGAGACACGGCCCAAACUCCUACGGGAGGCAGCAGUGGGGAAUCUUGCGCAAUGGGCGAAAGCCUGACGCAGCCAUGCCGCGUGUAUGAUGAAGGUCUUAGGAUUGUAAAAUACUUUCACCGGUGAAGAUAAUGACUGUAGCCGGAGAAGAAGCCCCGGCUAACUUCGUGCCAGCAGCCGCGGUAAUACGAAGGGGGCUAGCGUUGCUCGGAAUUACUGGGCGUAAAGGGAGCGUAGGCGGACAUUUAAGUCAGAGGUGAAAUCCCGGAGCUUAACUUCGGAACUGCCUUUGAUACUGGGUGUCUUGAGUGUGAGAGAGGUAUGUGGAACUCCGAGUGUAGAGGUGAAAUUCGUAGAUAUUCGGAAGAACACCAGUGGCGAAGGCGACAUACUGGCUCAUUACUGACGCUGAGGCUCGAAAGCGUGGGGAGCAAACA
This 669-nucleotide ribosomal RNA is filed under the name uncultured bacterium. Its description in RNAcentral is "bacterial SSU rRNA". It matches the Rfam family "Bacterial small subunit ribosomal RNA", at positions 57 to 774 of the family's 1533-position model. The record is from RNAcentral.